GGAGGCAUAGCUCAGCUGGUUAGAGCGCUCGCUUCACACGCGAGAGGUCGAUGGUUCGAGCCCAUUUGUCUCCACCA
Molecule: transfer RNA, 77 nt
Filed under: Oscillospiraceae bacterium
Lineage: Bacteria; Bacillati; Bacillota; Clostridia; Eubacteriales; Oscillospiraceae
Description: tRNA-Val
Rfam family: tRNA
About the family: Transfer RNA (tRNA) molecules are approximately 80 nucleotides in length. Their secondary structure includes four short double-helical elements and three loops (D, anti-codon, and T loops).
Source: RNAcentral